Molecule: long non-coding RNA, 794 nt
Organism: Diprion similis
Lineage: Eukaryota; Metazoa; Arthropoda; Insecta; Hymenoptera; Diprionidae
Exons: 2
Source: RefSeq, a predicted model, not a curated record
UUCAUUCGAUCUCCUCGCUUGACUGCUACGAUAAACGGCGAGAGUGACGCGGAUUGCGAGAAGGAAGGCGAACGAGUGUCUCCUCGCGUAUGGCGGCCGACGGUCGAACCAACACAUUCACAUCAAAAUUCACCGACACACCGCCGUUUCCAGCUGGCGUGAGCAGCGGCAUGGCAGCAUGGGACAGGCUGAGUAGGUUCCUCGAUCCUCAUUCCUCAGUAGUCGAGGCAAGUCGGUGCUCAGACGGUCGCGAAGUACGACGCUGCGCUCUCUCCGGUCGGCGAGAACUCUGCGGCAUCGAGUCAGUUAGUUAGUUAGUCAGUCAGUCAGUCAGUCAGUCAUUGAGUGAGUGAGUGAGUGAGUGAGUGAGUGAGUCAGUCGCUAACUUCACUCGAGUCGUAUACACUCAGUCCGCGAGAAGCCAUCGUGCGAUAAGCAGCAACACCGUCCGACGGAAGCUCGACGCAGAGGUUUACGCGCGAAGUUUCGCCCUCUUGUUAUAAAAAGUUUUUUUCGUUUCUUCCCUGUGAUAUACUUAUAAAUAAAAACCUGCGCGCAGUGCGUGUGGCUCGCUAUACCUACGAGCAUAGAGUAUAUAAAACAUACGAAGGAGACGACGACGACGAUUACUAAGAAGUUGUACAACGAGAACUGUGUAAAUAAAGAAAGAAGGAGGAAAAAUUUAAUACAGAAUUACAAGUGAUGAUAGAAAAAAAAAUAAGGCAAAACAAGAAGAUAAGAAACAUUCGUUCACACCCGCGUUGUAAAACGAGUUAAAAUAAAACAAAACAAGG